This 76-nucleotide transfer RNA is filed under the name Methylococcales bacterium. RNAcentral's name for it is "tRNA-Thr". It matches the Rfam family "tRNA". Rfam says of the family: Transfer RNA (tRNA) molecules are approximately 80 nucleotides in length. Their secondary structure includes four short double-helical elements and three loops (D, anti-codon, and T loops). Lineage: Bacteria; Pseudomonadati; Pseudomonadota; Gammaproteobacteria; Methylococcales. The record is from RNAcentral.
GCUCAUAUAGCUCAGUAGGUAGAGCACUUCCUUGGUAAGGAAGAGGUCACCGGUUCAAAUGCGGUUUUGAGCUCCA